This is an RNA transcript of Gadus chalcogrammus (walleye pollock), 5768 nucleotides long. It is a transcript of the gene named zinc finger protein 271-like, with no coding region annotated. NCBI's taxonomy places the organism in Eukaryota, Metazoa, Chordata, Actinopteri, Gadiformes, Gadidae. The record is from RefSeq and is a predicted model, not a curated record. The transcript is spliced from 5 exons.
UGGCGUCCGAGGAUUCAGGAACGCACCAGUAGAUACCGCUCCCGUCUCAGGGGAAAAUGAGGGAAUGAUGCAAGAGCAUUCAAAAAUAUGACUGGCUUUCUAACGAUAAAAAGCUUAAUGCAAAUGGGUCAAGUGUCACUAUAUUUUCUAUAUAUGUUUUAAAUCAGUGUAGGCUAUGCUAGUAUGUUCGCCCAUGAUUAAAUAAAUGUUUAGGCCGAGUAGACCGAGUGCAGUGAGGUUUACCGGAUGACGCGAUAAACAAAGAUGGCUGCGCCCGUAGUGAUUGAGUUUAGAUUUAUUUUCUUAGCAUUUAUACCACGUUGUUUAUUUUAAUGUCGAUUUGAAAUGAUCGUAUACACUUGAAUACAUUUCUGCUUUAAUCCGGUCACCGAUUUAUGCAUUGCACGGUUUUUUGGGGCAUGCAAUUCAAGGUAAAUGUUUGUUUUCAAGCUGGUUUGCUAUAAAGGCUAAUGUAGCAAACAAUAUUUACAUCCUGGUACGGCUCUUCGUGCCUCAGGGAAACAGCGAAAGCACAUUUUUUUGGGAAUUGAAAUAGGCGAAAAUAACAAAAUAUUAGUGAUCGGAGUUGCUUGAAAUGUUAAGUUUAUACCUGAUGAAUGUUCAGGAAAUCUUUGCAAUCCAUUUCAGGUUUUGUUACAUUAUGCAAGUGGUUAUAAAUUCUUAAUCUUUCAAACCUAGACUUUCUCGACCUCUCUUAUUAUUUCCCCCCCGAAUAUCCGAUUCUGGGUUUUUAUCGACAACAGAGUAAAAUAUGUUAACAAAUAUGUCACUCUGCGGCCCAACUUUGGAAGAACAGCUUUCGUCCAUAAUUGACGUACUUGCGAAAGCUGCUGUAUCAGAAAUUAGCCAACUGUUCUCGGAAGGCUCGGCUACCCUUCGAUUACAAACAACUCGGAGCCUGAAAGAAAACCAAGCGCUGAGGAUGAGGAUGAAGGUGAUGAGGAGUGAGCUGUUUUCUUUGCGGCUUCAAACGAGAUCAAAUGCAUCGUCUGCGGCCAUUCGUUUGGCUUUGGCUCGAGCCAACACCUGCAAACCAAAUGAUGACUGCAGUGACUUUGGAGACCGCAGCACACAGCGCGACGCCAUCUCAGAGACUCUUAACACCCCUGGCUCCUCCCACAUGUCCAGUCACAGCGAGGAGCUGAGGAUCCUGAGUGUCUAUGGAAAAGGGGAGGGCCCACUGGCGCUGGACUGCAAUGGCACACUCUUCAACUUGUCCGAACUGGAGGCCCUGAACUCUCUGUCUGCAGACCACAGCGUGGCCAAGAGCCUGGAGCGCGGCGAGGAGCUGGUCCACCGUGAGGAGCUGACUGUGCAGCAGACCCCAGACACCAUUUUAAUCAAAGAUGAAGAGGAUAUUGGUGGGGGCAUGCCAGCUGUAGAAGGCUGGGCUGAAUUUGGAGACUGCAGCACACAGCACAGCGCCACCUUAGAUAGUCUGCAUGUGGACGCUCCUGGCUCCUCCCACAUGUCAAGUCACAACGGGGAGCUGAGGAUCCUGAGUGUCUAUGGAAAAGGGGAGGACCCACUGGCGGUUGAUGGCCAUGACAACCUCUUCACCGGACCUGAGGCUCUGAGCUCGCUGUCCGUAGAACACAGUGUGGCAAAGAGCCUGGAGCGCGGCGAGCAGCUGGUCCACCGUGAGGAGCUGACCGGGCAUCGGGGCGGCGGCAAGGACCGGCCCGGUGUGUUGUCUGGAGAGGUGUGUUCUCAUUUCCACAAUGGCGAGAAGCCGUACGGGUGCGACCAAUGCACGAAGCGCUUCCAACUGAAAGGCAGCCUGAAGAUCCACAUGAGGACUCACUCCGGGGAGAAGCCGUACAGUUGUGACCAAUGCGUGAAGCGCUUCAGUCAGAGCUCCGACCUGAAGGUCCACAUGUGGACUCACUCCAGGGAGAAGCCUUACUGGUGUGACCAAUGCGGUAAAGGCUUCAGUAAGAGCUCCAACAUGAAGAUCCACAUGAGGACUCACUCCGGGGAGAAGCCCUACAGGUGUGUUCAAUGCAUGAGGAGCUUCGGACGGCUUUCCACUCUGAAGAGCCACCUGAGGACUCACUCCGGGGAGAAGCCCUACAGUUGUGACCAAUGCUUGAGGCGCUUCAGACAGAGCUCCACUCUGAAGUACCACAUGAGUACUCACUCCGGGGAGAAGCCCUGAAGGUGCAAUGCCAGCUUCAGCGUCCCAAACAAAGAGCCAAUUGGGAGCUUUGACACGGGGCAACGGGACGCUUUGAUCGUCGCCAUUAUUUUUUUGCUUUAUUAAAGGUUCCAUGGCAUGUUACUUUAUGGAUGCUUUUAUAUAGGCGUUAGUGGGCCCCUAAUACAGUACUGGAAGACGUUCAAGAAAUUCAGCCUUUGUGCAGAAAAACAGCCACUACGAGGCAGUCCCACCAUUUGUUUUCCACAAACGUGCCGUUUUUUUAGAGGCAGGUCAGGGUGGAGGCUGGGGGUGUGGCCUUGAGCAGCUUGCGGCCACGCUACCAUGCUCUCGUGGACUGGAGUUACAAGCUGUCAAACGAGAGACUACGUUACGUCACGAAGACCUGUCCAAUGCAUGACUUUUGUUACAUACAACAAGUAAAAUACAUCGGCCACAUUUGUCGUGUAGAUAACUCAGUUACAAAACCAGAUGCUAUUUGAUCGCAGAAUGCCCAAAACCAUCUGUAACAAACUAGAAAGGAUAUUCGGUAUGGACAUAUUACAAAUACAAAGAACUUUGAUGAAGAGAAAUGAACUGAUGCGAGUGCUGGACCAUAUGUUCAGACAGGAGCACCCCAAGGCCACUAGUGUGCCAAGAGGGGAAAAAGUGAUUGUGUUUACAGUGGAUGUAUCCCAAUGGCGUGGCGCAUACAGAUUUUGUUCAUGUUCUGUGAAUAUUCUAGAACCCUCCGGCUACUCCGGCCGGAGUCCUGGCGCUCUAUAUCUAAAUAGUAUCAUAUUAUACAUAGAUAUCUAUCAUAUAAUAUAUAUUAUCAUGGGCAAAAGCUGUGUGUGCCUCCAGACGAUAUUAUGAAUCUCAAACGGCUGCAUCGGUUUCUCUGACGUCUGGUUCUUCCACUUCCACAUCAAUCUGAAGUAGACUGAACCACGUCAUGGAGGAGAAAGGGAUUGUUUCCCGCGAUUGACUCCCGCCGGAGCCCCGCUGCCGAGGCGUGCUGCCUCGGUAGAAAGCAGUGGGCAGUGGGGCUCCGGCGGGAGACAAUCGCGGGCAACAAUCCCUUUCUCCUCCAUGUCGUGGUAUCAAGUUCUUCUCGGAGUCAAAGCCAAAGUUCCUUUCCCCCAAUUCCUUCUCAACCAUGGAUGAUAUAACCCCCACUACGAGACUUACUACCAGAGACGUCAGAGAACCCGACGUGUUAUGUGCCAUAACACCAACAGAACGGUUAUCCAAAUAACAAAGAAGUGUACAACACCUGCGUUACAGUGUGUGUAUUCACACACACACACACACACACGUGGUGCUCGCAUGGUCGUAUUGUCUCAUUGGAGGGCCACAUUCUCUUGGCUGGCAAAGCAGAGGGAGGAAAAUUCCAAACCGGCGCGUCUUUUUUAAAGGCAGAGCAGGAUAGCUAGUCCUCGUUUUACACCUAACGCCAUUUCUAGCCACUGGGGGAAUGGGGGACAUAUUAAUGUUAGAAAACCUCAUAAAGUGACAUUUUCAUGCCAUGGGACCUUUAAAGACUCUUUCCCACUUUUCAUUCGCCUUCUGAUUUUAUUGUUUGAAAUUUAUGUGUGUGUGAUGAAUAGUCGCUUGUUUUUUGGACACUUCGGAAUACCAAAUAUCUGAGUUAAAUUUAGAGCAUGAUCAUGGGAAGAUACAGGAAGCAAAGUUACCAAGCAUACAUUCAACGAGACAAAGGGUGUACAUGAUUCUUGUAGGCAAUUUCACAUUGUGGGUUAAUACAAAGGUGAGGGGGAGUGACCAUCGUGGAGAUUUUAGGAUUGCCCAGAGGAGAGACCAAGUUCAAUUUAAGUACACUGGGUGAAGUGGACGUGGCUGCAAGACAGUUAAAGGAAUCUACAAAACAAAUAAGUCAGUGGACUGGCCUCAGUAUCAGACUUCGCGGCUACAGUUGCAAUGCAAAUGCAACAAAACCUUUCAAAUAGAGAUGACGGGAGCGGGAGGUAUCUCUAGGUCCAAGGAGAAUGUAUCGAAAUCCCUUUCAAUUGUCUACAUACAAUAUAUAAUUGUAUAUUAUAGUUUGUCUUUGUCUUUCUUAAGUUUUAUUCUUUCGUACUUAUUCUCAACAAACUUUGGGAUCCUGCUCCUUCCACAAUUUUCCCCUGAGAGACUACAUUCAAAUUUUAAAAUGUUAAGAUCAGCUUGGAAUCGCGUGCUUCUAUUCAGAUUAUUCUUCUCUGAUGCUUCAACUUCUUCAGACUAACUGUUAAUCUUCUUUUAGACAUUGAACAAAUUAUGACAUUUGUAACUUCAAAAAUAUAAACAGUACAAUAAAAAAUAAUAUAUACAUUUUUAUUAUCAUUUAUACGUUCAUAAUACAUAAUAUAUAUUAUAAUAUUGCGAUUGUGAUUAUUUCUUUUAAAAUUACCUAGUGUUCUGCAUUAUUCACUGAACAAGCAAUAAAUCAUUCUGUAGUAUGACCAACACAACAUUGGAAGCAGUCAACAUAUAAAACGGUCUUUCCUUUAGGAAACUCAGUGUGGGGAACAGGGAUGCACUCGUCAACCCUGCAUGGCUUGGGGUGCGUUUGAUUUGAAUGCAGGUGCUUGCACACGGAGAGUAGGAAGGCCCAUCGAGGCCCAGAGUGAACCGCUCUGAAGGAUCCAGGCCCUUUCCUGUCAAGCUGAUAUAAAUCUGUCUGUCUGUUAGCCUUCCUCUAUGCCUGUCUACGUCAGAAAAAGCCUGCCUUAUCUGCCUGUCUGUCUGUCUUCCUGUACUUUGGCCGCCCUUUCUGUUUGCUUGUUUGUCUGUCUGCCCAUAUUCAUGUCUAUGUGAAAUAUGUUGUCCACAGACCAAACAUCCCCCAUGAGAUGCCUCUGUGUGCUGCUCUUCACAAGCCAAACUUGAACAGGUGGCACCCCAUGGUUAAAUACAAUACAGCGUGGUGAGUUGCUGUCACUACUGCGUGGUGAGCGGUUGGGACAUUCUCGAUGGAGCGAAUGUCAUGUGGUUCCAGAUUGUUGAGGAAAGGCGCCUGGAGUUCAUCUGUUUCGGCUCACAGUCCUUAUACUAUUGUGUAUUUGUAUGUUUGUGUAGUGGGGACUCUGUUUGAAAGGAUAGACUCUAAGGGGUAAUUCAGCUCAACCAUUUAUAACGUUAAUGGCUUAAACAAUCUAAAUCCAUCACUCUUUAAGUUAAGUGUGUCUUCUUUGAUUCAACACGUGUCACUGUCUUGAACAAUCGAUAUGUUCAUACACAGUAGGCCUACAUGCCAAAUUGACAUAUCACCUCUCAAUAAGGUGUUGGGAGUCUGUAAGCAAGCACUCAGGCCACCAAGACACACAGGCAGCCAGGUGUGUUCCACACACAGCCAGAUGUGUCACAGCCAAAUGUGUUACACAAACAGCCAACCUACUAAAUAGAAAGCAUUUUACUCCUUGACACACCGUUGAUCAUGUUCAUUUCAGACAUAUUCCCAGGUGGCUACCCCUCUCUAAUUUGGUUUCUACACUAAUAUUUAGAGGCCUGCAGAUGUCAAACAUGAUUUUCCACCAACAUUUAAGCAUGUCAAAACAAGAUUUAAAAACUCCAUCAGCCGUAUCCCAGCACUAUUUGUAAAAACCUC